CUCGAGUAGGGCCCAAGCAAGCCAGGAAGGAGGAGGCAGCCAGAGUGUUCUCUGCAGCAGAAGACUCCUUGCUGCCCUGCUCAACCCAGACCAGCAUUUGCCAGGUGUACAGGUCAAAGCAGAGAAGAAGAGAAAAGAGAAGAAGAGGAUGACCAGCAGCAAGGUGGAUGGACUCAAUUACAACAGCAAUGAAUGCACCACUGAGAGACCCACAAUGCCAAGCUGAAGACAGAUCAUCCUGGAGAGAAGCUAUCUUUGUGGUUGCUAAGAGUCGACACCGAUUUGAUGGCACUUAUCAAUCAAUCAAUCAAUCAAUCAGAGGUUAAAGCAGGGCUGUACAACUUUGGCCCUCCAGCUGUUCUUGGACUACAAGUUCCAUCAUCCCUAGCCACAGUGGGGAUGAUGAAAGUUGUAGCUCUCCUGCAGAUGUUGGAUUACAAGUUGUAGUCCAACAUCUACAGGAAAUCUGUACUGCCCUGGGUUAAAGCGUUGGACUAGGACCAGGCAGACAUAAGAACAAGCCUGCUGGAUCAGGCCCAAGGCCUAUCUAGUCCAGCAUCCCAUUUCGCACAGUGGCCCACCAGAUGCCCAGAGUUCAAAUCCCUAUUCAGCCAUAAAAAUUUACUGGGUGACUAUGCAGCAGUAACUUAUCUCCGGCUGGCUGUAAGACAGCCUGUUGUGAGAAUAAGAAUAACCAUGUACACCACUCUGGGCUCUGUGAAGAAAGAGUCUUCCUUCAGUAUUGUCUGAGCCUUGAAGUGUUGGGGUUUUUUUUUGGAUAAAAUUCACCUGUGUCUCUUAUUUUUAUCAGGCAGCAUUGUCCGAUCAUGAAUGUUUUGGCUUUUGUAAGUAUGAUUUAAGAUAGGCUGUGCUCAAAUUCGUGUAAUUUGUUUGAGAGACAUGACAAGAGAGCUUCUAUAAGAUUUCCAGUCAUUGCAAGUUGCUGGAGUCCUUCAUGAUGUGCUUUUUAAGGCACUUUUAUUUCUUAAUUUAAUAGUGAUGUGUGUUGACAUGAGUUUGGCAUUUCUGUUGACUCAGGUUAAAAAAUCUCAGGAGGCAAGGGUGGAAAAAGCCUAGUCUGGGUCUGAGAUAUUAAGGGAAUAGCUUCACCUCCUGCUUGUGGACUUCCCAGAGUUGUGUCCUUAAAGGAAUCCCUCCCACCUUCGAGCCGGCCAAACCACUGGACUUUCAAACUGGUCCGGAGGUCCAUAAGGGGCCUCCAAACUGUUUCCAUGCACAUCCCUAACGCUUACUGCCCUUGCCACCACAACUCUCUGCAGACCCUCUGCCCUGCCCAGCCUUUGCCUGGAGGUAGAAUGUGAUUUCCUUUGGGGGGUUAUUUCCCCCAUCCUGGAUAUUUAGGGAUCAGCAUGGGAGGUAGUGCAGAUUGAGAAGUCUCUGAAUAUUUAAUUUAAAACAGAUUGGGGAAUUUGCUGGUUUAAAAUAAUUUUUAAAUUAAAAAUAUCUAUCAAUAAAGUGGCUUGUUUCAUGGCAGAGCAUUACAAAAAUGUCUGGAAGUGAAGCUCCCCUUAGACCAUCAUUCCAGCCCAAUAUGGAAGAAUCUGCCCUUUGCCAUCAUAAAAGAGGGGUAAAACACCUCCCUUUCUGCCCCAGCCUUUGAUCACCUGGAAAGACUUGGCAUAGGGUUUUGAUAUUGAGCAGAGAUGUAGGGCAGAGUGGGAGGAAUAUGUAUAAUUAAAUUGAAGUGGAUUGGACAAAUUGUUGGUUUUUAAUUAAAAAAAAAAAAUUAAACACAUCCAAAAAGUCCUAUACGUGGCUUGUUUCAUGGCAGAAAAUUACAAAAAGUUCUGGAACAAACAAACAAUAUUAUAUAUAUGUAUAAGUGCACUAUGUUCAAGUUCGUUUGCAACCCAGAAGGUCUGAGUGAGAACUGUGAAGCAUGUAUUGUGCUUUUAUUUUUAUUUUUAUUUUCUUUAGAAAUGCACUAUAUGUCCAACUGGUUGGACAUGUCCAAAAACCUCACUCACACUAUUCAUACUGUAUGUCAUCAAUCAGUUUGAUUCUGUAAUGAUAUGAAAUAUUAAGGAGGCCCAGCACAUGCUGAUUCUCCCCCAGCCCCACACCUUCCUAGGGAUGGCCCUGCUUCUGAGCAUAUGCAGAUAGGGAUGUGCGAAAAGGUUCAAUUCUGAAACUGUUCGAAAUCGAACCAGUUUGGUUCAAUAGCUCAAUUUGGUUCAAUGUUGAGCCAACCCCCCCCCCAGCCGUUUGAGGGGGUGCACUUUUUAAAACCAAAAAAUCACGUUAUUAUUUGUACUUAGCCCCUCGGGGGAGGUUCUCCAAGGCCGCGGGGGGGGGCGGGGGUUGCAGAUGUUUCCUUAUGUAUAAAAGUAGACCCAGUUCGGGCAAUCUUUUACUCUUUCCAGGCCUUGCCCCCAUCGCGGUGGCCAUUUUGGAGGCCAUUGCACAUGCACAAUGGGCACUGCGUAGCCGGGUCAUGACCAGCCAUGCUAAUUCCACAUGACCAUGCUAAUUCUUGCUAUUUCACUAUUUCUCCCCAUCUAUCUCCCUUGCUUCAGUGGGACUUACUGGUCUCCUAGAGGGAGCAAAAUAUGCUGGGAGCACAAAUUAGUUUGGUUUGAUUUACAUCCCUGAGCAUAUGCAAUCCUAUAUGUAAUGAUCAGGGAAGGAUCUCAUGCAGUUGAAUGCAAUGGAGUUUAUUUUUAAGUAGACAUGCUUUCCUUGCUAGUAAGUCCUUUAGGUUUCAGUGAAAUGCCUGAGGCUGGAAUUCUUACCUGGCUGCAAUUACACACAGCCGGCUGUACUGCGAAUUUUCUGGGAGGCAUACUGCGAAAUUGUAAUGAAAAAACCAGACCAAAUAGUGGAUUUAUUAUUGUUGUUGUUGUUGUUUGUUUGUUUUACACAGUCAGACAGGUGUUAUUGACUGGUUUGUUUUAUCCAGACAUCAAGUCCUUCCCAAGGACCAGGGAUGGCUGAAUUUUAUUGUCAAUGUUGUUGCUGUUAUAGAUAUCGUCGCAGAAUAUAGGCUGUUCCCAGUAAAGCUGCUUUUUGUAAUUGGCUGAUGGUGAUUUCUGUGGCCCCUAUGGUGUUGAGGAACUCUUCAAGUUGUUUUGGAAUUGACCUAGGGCGCCAAUUACCACUGGGAUUAUUUUGGUCUUUUUCUGCCACAGCCUUUCAAUUUCAAUUUGUAGAUCUUUGUAUUUGGUGAUUUUUUCUAUUUCUUUUUCUUCUAUUCUGCUAUCCCCUGGUAUUGCUAUGUCGAUUAUUUUGACUUGUUCUUCUUUCUUCUCAACUGCAGUUAUCUCUGGUGUAUUGUGUGGCAGAUGUUAGUCUGUUUGUAGUCGGAAGUCCCAUAAUAUUUUUGCAUCUUCAUUUUCUACAACUUUUUCAAUUGUAUGGUCCCACCAAUUUUUGGCUACUGGUAGCUUGUAUUUUUUGCAGAUGUUCCAGUGUAUCAUCUCUGCCGUCAUGCCUUUGUUUUUAGUCAGUCUGUGCAAUCUUUUUACAACAGCUGAUUAGGUGGUCCACGGUUUCAUCUGCUUCUUUACAAAGGCAGCACUUGCUGUUUGUUGUUGAUUCUUCGACUUUUGUUCUUAUUGCUUUUGUUCUUAGUGCCUGUUCUUUUGCAGCCAGUAUUAAACCCUCUGUUUCUUUCUUCAAGUUGCCAUUCUUAAGCCAUUGCCAGGUCUUGAUGAUAUUUGAUUUUCCAGUUAUAAUGUGCAAAUAUUGACCAUGCAGUGGCUUAUUUUUCCAUUUUUCUGCUUGGUUCUUGACUUGUGCUUUCUUGUAGGCCUGCUUUGUUUCAUUGGUGUUUAAUAGUUUCUCAUUAUUGACCAUCUGAAGUGCAUCUUCUUCACUGUCCUUGAUAUUUUAUUUAUUUAUUUAUUUAUUUUUACAUUUCUAUACCGCCUUUCGUUAAAAGAAAACCCCAAGGCGGUUUACAAAAAUUAAAACAUACAAUAAAAAGCAGUAAAAACAUCAAGCUAAAAACAAGCAUAAAAACAAGACAACAGAUAAAAACACACAAAAGCAGCAGUAAAAAAACGAUUAUGUAAAAGCCUGGGUAAAAAGCCAAGUCUUUAAAAGCGUUCUAAAAGCUGUGAUGGAGUCCGAGGAACGAAUGGCCACUGGGAGAGCAUUCCAGAGUCUAGGAGCAGCAACAGAGGCGGCCCUGUCGUGGCCAGAUCUGCCUUCUAGAGAAAGGGACGCAGCUUUCGCACCAGCCGAAGCCGUGCAAAGGCACCCCUGGCCACCGCCUCCACCUGAGCUUCCAAAAGCAGAGCCGGGUCCAGUAGUACCCCCAAGCUGUGUACUUGCUCCUUCAAGGGGAGUGCAACUCCAUCCAGAACCGGUAAAAUCUCCUCAUCCCGAUUGGCUCUCCUACUGAUCAACAGUACCUCUGUCUUAUCCAGAUUCAAUUUCAGUUUGUUAGCCCACAUCCAACCCAUCACAGCCUCCAGCCCCCAAUUUAGGACAUCCACCGCCUCUCUAGGAUCCGAUGACAAGGAGAGAUAGAGCUGAGUGUCAUCCGCAUAUUGCUGACAACUCAGACCAAAUCCCCGGAUGACCUCUCCCAGCGGCUUCAUGUAGAUGUUAAACAGCAUGGGGGACAAGAUCGAACCCUGCGGGACCCCACAGGCCAACGGCCACGGGGCCGAGCAGUAGUCCCCCAGCACCACCUUCUGGACCCUCCCCUCAAGAAAGGACCGGAACCACUGCAACGCAAUGCCUCCGAUUCCCAUACUCGAGAGGCGGCCCAGAAGGAUACCAUGGUCGAUGGUAUCGAACGCCGCCGAGAGGUCCAGCAGAACCAACAGGGACGCACUUCCCCUGUCUAGUUCCCGGCGUAGGUCAUCCACUAGACCGACCAAGGCAGUCUCAGUCCCAUACCCGGGGCGGAAGCCAGAUUGAAAAGGGUCCAGAUAAUCCAUAUCAUCCAAGACCCUCUGCAGCUGGGACGCCACCACACGCUCCAUCACCUUGCCCAAAAAGGGAAGGUUAGACACAGGUCUAUAGUUGUCCAGGUUGGAGGGAUCAAGGGAGGGCUUUUUUAAUAGCGGUCUUACCACCACCUCCUUGAGGCACGAUGGCAUCCUGCCCUCCCUUAAUGAAGCAUUAACGAUCACCUCCAGCCAUCUACCUGUCCCCUCCCUGGCAGCUUUUAUUAGCCAUGAAGGGCAAGGGUCAAGAGCGCACGAAGUCGCCCGCACACUGCCCAGGAUCUUGUCCACAUCCUCAGGCCACACCAACCGAAAAGAAUCCAACACAACGGGACCAGAUGGUACCAAAGGCACGUCUGCCGGAACUGCCAAAACUCUGGAGUCCAGGUCAGCAUGGAUGCAAGCGACUUUAUCUGCAAAGCGACAGGCAAACCAAUCACAAAGAGCUGUAGAUGACUCCUCCCCCAUUGUCUGGGGGGGGGGGUGGAGCAAGGUUUUCACCACACAAAAGAGCUGUUUGUCUGCACUGAGCAGACGCAAUGGAGGCGGAGAAAAAACAUUUCUUCGCCACCCCCACCGCCACGGCGUAGUCCCUGAAAUGGGCUCUAGCCCGUGUUCAAUUGGAUUCGUGACGACUCUUCCUACAGCAUUGUUCUAGCCGUCGUCCGAGUUGCUUCAUCGCCCUAAGCUCCGAGGAAAACCAAGGAGCAGAACGGGCUCCACCAAGCCGGAGAGGGCGCUUGGGGGCAACCGUGUCAACAGCCCGGGCCAUCUCUCAAUUCCAGAGAUCAACCAAGGCCUCGACAGGGUCACCAGCUCUGGACACUGGAAACUCCCUGAGGGCCGUCUGAAAUCCAAGCGGAUCCAUAAGCCUCCGGGGGCGGACCAUCUUAAUCGGCCUACCACCCCUGCAGAGGGCAGACAGAGCAGUCAAACUAAACCCCACCAGGUGAUGAUCUGUCCAUGACAAGGGAGUGGUCUCAAAUUCCCCCACCUCCAGAUCAUUUAUUUCCCGGUCGGCAAAAACCAGAUCCAGAGUGUGUCCCGCCACGUGGGUAGGGCCCGAUACCAAUUGAGACAGGCCCAUGGUUGCCAUGGAGGCCAUGAAAUCCUGAGCCGCACCCACUAGGGGGGCCUCAGCGUGGACAUUGAAAUCCCCCAAAACAAUAAGCCUGGGGGAACCCAAGGCCACCUCCGAGACCACCCCCGCCAGCUCAGGUAGGGAGACUGAAGUGCAGCGGGGUGGACGGUACACCAGCAGAAUCCCCAGCCUAUCUCGGAGGCCCACCCUCAAGGACAAACACUCGAAAUUCUGAGAUUGCCUGACCGGGCACCUGGAAAUGGGGAAGGUCUCUUGAAAGAUGACUGCAACGCCUCCUCCCAGACCCUCGAGGCGGGGCUGCUGCAGGAUCUGGAAACCUGGAGGACAAAGCUGAGAGAGACCAACCCCACCCAGCGCAUCCAACCAGGUCUCCGUCACGCAUACCAGGUCAGCACGCUCAUCCACAAUCAAAUCGUGGAUGAGAGAUGUUUUUGCGUUAACUGACCUGGCAUUCAGCAGCAGCACCCUAAUCCUCGAAGGAGUGUUCUCAGAGCUCCCUAGGGUCAGAGGGUUGGGAAAAGGGCCGGAAAAAGGAACAGGCCUCAAUUGCCUGGACCGAUUUCCCCUGUAACGGCCUGCCCAACUCCCACCGCCAUACCUCCCUCUGCCCGCUACCCGUGAUAUUGCUGCCCCCACUCCAGACCCACUUUUUUGCUCUCCCAGACACAUCCCCCCAGACUAACCCACCACAGCUUCUUGGCUUAAUUUAAAACCAGGACCAGACUUAUACAAUCUCUGCUGACUUCUUGAUUGGAGGAAGACGGAUCUUAAAGGCAGAAGGAAAAGGUCUUCAGGGCCCCAGGCAGCUCGCCCCACGGCUGAGAGCCACAAGGACGAGAGCCCUUGUGCUCUCGCCCUUCGGCUCAUGCCCUUCGGCUCACGAACCUGGCUCAGCCUGAGCUUUAAAGCAGCAGAGGCUGAUGGUGGAUGGUACAUACCUGGAGAAAAGGUGGGGCAGAAGACAAAGCACAGUCACUGCCUUGCCCAAGAUGUUCCCUCUUAUAUUCUUCAAGGCCUCUUUUCUCCUCCUCUACUGUUUGAUGGACUUGCAGCAUUCCUCUAACACCUGAGCUGCAAGGGAGGUAUAGCCUAUCUACAUUACUGCGGGGGUGCAGAGCAUGACUGAUGGUCAUUAUUUUCCUAGUCUUACGAUCUAGCGACUCUAGCUCUGCCUGGGUCCAGUCUAGUAUUCCUGCAGUGUAUCUGAUAACAGGUAUAGCCCAGGUGUUUAUGGCUUGUAUGGUGUUCCCGCCAUUCAGUUUGGACUUGAGGAUUUUUCUAACUCUCCUGAUGUAUUCACUUCCAAUUUUUCUUUUAACUUCAGUGUGUGCGAUGUUAUCAGCCUGGAGAAUGCCCAAGUAUUUGUAAUGUUCUUUCUCUUCCAGGUUCUUGAUCUUGCUUCCAUUGGGCAGUUCUAUUCCUUCUGUUUUUUUAUUUUUCCUCUGUUCAUUAUUAAUGCAGCACACUUGUCUAGUCCAAACUCCAUUGCUAUAUCGCUACUGAAUAUACGGGCAGUGUUUAGCAGUGAUUCGAUUUCUGACUGGGACUUUCCAUACAACUUCAGAUCGUCCAUGUACAGCAGAUGGUUGAUUUGACUUGAUGUUUUAGAUGUUUGGUAUCCGAGGCCUGUUUUGUUUAGUAUUUGUGAAAGUGGAGUCAUGGCGAUUACAAACAACAGAGGGGAUAGUGAGUCCCCUUGGAAAAUACCUCUUCUAAUGCUAACCUGUCCAAGUGUCUCAACAUUGAUUGUUAACUGUGUACUCCACAUGCUCAUUGCUUUUUAAAAUAAAUAUCUGAAUGUUUUUGCUGACACCAGUUGUUUCUAAACAUUUUAGUAUCCAUGUGUGAGGCAAUGAGUCAAAGGCCUUCUUGUAGACAAUCCAUGCAACACUUAGAUUUGUUUUCCUUCCCAUGCAACACUUAGAUUUGUUUUCCUUCUCUUGCAAUUGUUUUCCUUCUCUUGCAAUUUUCUAAAAUCAUUUUGUCAAUCAGCAGCUGGUCUUUUGUGCCUCGGGUGUUUGGGCAAUUUCCUUUCUGUUCAACUGGAAGCUGCUUAUUAGUUAAUAAGUGUUGCAUUACUUCAUCUGCUAUUAUUCCAGUUAAUAAUUUGAACAUGGUUGGCAGGCAGGUUAUCAGUCUAUAAUUACUUGGAACCACACCUUUUGCUGGGUCUUUCAUUAUGAGAUGAGUUUUCCCAGUUGUUAGCCAUUUUCCCAGUUGUUAGCCAUUGUUCAGUAUCACCUCCUUGCAAAAUGUGAUUGAACUGUUUUGAUAGUUGUUUAUGAAGGCUUGUUAGGUGUUUAAGCCAAAAGCCAUGCAGUUCAUCGUCGCCUGGCGCAGUCCGAUUUUUAAUGUUCUUUGCUCUUUCACUUAUUAAUUCUGUUGUUAUUAUUAGAUCUUGCAUUUGUUGGUUACAUUUUUUGACCUCUUUCAACCAGCCUGCUUUUUUAUUAUAAUCUACUGGAUUGUCCCAUAGUUUCCCCCAGAAUUGCACUGUUUCUUCUGUAUUUGGUGUUUCUAGGUUUCUUGCAGUUUCUCCUUCUAUGCUUUGGUAGAAACGUCUCUGAUUCAACUGGAAUUGGAGAUUCUGCCUGUAUUGUGGCUUUGUAUCUGCUAAUCUUCUUUGAUACUGCCGUUAUUUGCUGCUUUAUUAUUUCCAGGACUUCUCUAAUUUUCCUUGAAUCUAGGUGGUAUUUUUGGAUCAGAUACUGUCCGGUGUUUUCAUUCUUCAGCUUCUUGUCUUUCAUCUUUCAAUUUACUAGCAUCCGACCUAAGUCUGGCGAUUUUAUUUUCUAAUCUAAUCUUCCAUUUAGGUGAUGUACGACUUUCUUUUUUGACAGGUCCACUGAUCUUAUAUCUGAGCUCUUGUGUUGUUAUUGUUGCGGCACUGUACAUUAGUUGGUUUGUUUCUUGCAAAUUAUUGGUUGUUAUUUCUGCAAGUGCAGCAUUGACAUCUUUUAAUGCCCGAGCAAGUUGUUUUUUGGCAACUGUUUUUAGAGCUGGGAGUUGAACCCUGGUGGUUGUUUGGUUCAUGUGCUCAGUUAUUUUUUGCUUUAGUACUUGUUGCUUUUCUGUUAAACGGCAUUUGGGUUUUUGAGAUGAAGGCAAAGGGGAGGUUGCCUGGUUUUGAUUAUGAAACAGUUCAGCAACAGUGGCAUCCUCUAUUUCCAACACCUUCUCCACCUGCGCCUGAGCAACUUUUUCAGUUGGUAGUAAUUCUUCUUCCAUAUCUUGAGCCUGUGUUGCUCUUUGCAGUUCUUCCAGAUCAACUUCUGUGAAUACUUCAUUUCUUAUUAGGAAUCUUCUCUGGUCUGCUAGCCUUUGUUCUGUUAUUUCUGUAUCUGGAUGCUUCUCUUUCCAAAUUUGGUAUAUUCUUUUUAAAUAACCUCUUCUAGUUGGACUAGACUUGUAAUAGCAGAUCAUUAUUUCCUUGUUGGCAUUUUUUGUAUAUUUUUUCCUAUUAAGUGACAUUUCUUCCAGUAACCCUGCAGUCUCCAGCCCUGGUUGCUCAACUGAAGAUCCUGAGUCCUGUAGCCCACUUGUCACCAGAUGUCCAGGGACUCCAGCACCUGGUGCGUUCCUUGUUGACCCAGGCGACGACCGAUCCGGUAUAGAUUUAUUAAACUUACAUCUCACCAUAUUGUUGAUGGGAGAGGCUCCUCUGGUGAGACCUGUCCAGUAUGGUUGGACCUCUAGCAUAGCUCUCACCUUCCUCAGAGCAUGCAAGCCCCACAACCACGCCAAGGUAUUUAUUAUUAUUAUUAUUAUUAUUUACAUUUUAUAUCCUGCUCUUCCUCCAAGGAGCCCAGAGUACUACAUACUUAAGUUUCUCCUCACAACAACCCUGUGUGAAGUAGGUUAGGCUGCGAGAGGAGUGAUUGGCCCAGAGUCACCCAGCAAGUAUUAUGGCUGAAUGGGGAUUUGAACUCGGGUCUCCCCGGUCCUAGUCCAGCACUCUAACCACUACACCAUGCUGGCUCCACGCUGGCACCAUGCAGACCAAAUAGUGGACUUUUUAACCCUGGAUAUAAGUCAGGCUACACUCUAAUGAGCAGUGAAAACCCCAUAUUGUGUGUGAACUGCUCUCUGAUAACUUGCAGGGACUCUGUUAAACAACAGAGUCUACCAUCUUGGCUUUUAUCCUAUUUCAAUUGUCUCAUAUUUCAUUGCUUAGUGGUUUGAGCAUUCUGAACCCUUUUUUGGAAAAAUGUAUAUCAAACCCCUAUUGCUGAUGUGCCUCUUCCUUUUAUGACUUGCUUUGGGUAUAUUUGAUCCCAACUUCUGAGUAAUAGUUGUCCUGCAAAGUUUUAUUGUACUGUGUAUGUACUUCAGUCAGUACUUUACUGAUGAUCAGGGUCAGUGUGUAGGGGGUGAGGCUGGGGGUAACUGGAGAUAAGCUAUGCAAAUGUAGCACCUGACUCUUUAAAAUCCACCUCGUAACUGUACAGUAUGUAGUAACGAUCCAAAGUGCUUGAAAAAUUAAAAUGGCAAAAUACUUAUUUGCCCAAACUAGGCACAGUUACUAUGUUUCUUGAAGGGUAGUAUAAUUGAAGUGUCUAAUUUCUGGGCAUGGAGCAUUAUUAUUGUUGCUAUGAAAAUUGUAUGUUAGUGUUUACUAUUAUUAUUGGGUCCUUGGAGGAAGAGUGGGUAAAAACAUAAAUAAUGAAAAUAAAAAUAAAUUGUUAAAUAGCA
Long non-coding RNA from Hemicordylus capensis (graceful crag lizard), 10713 nucleotides. RefSeq lists it as uncharacterized. The record is from RefSeq and is a predicted model, not a curated record. NCBI's taxonomy places the organism in Eukaryota, Metazoa, Chordata, Lepidosauria, Squamata, Cordylidae. The transcript has 2 exons.